Molecule: ribosomal RNA, 492 nt
Filed under: uncultured bacterium
Lineage: Bacteria
Description: partial 16S ribosomal RNA
Rfam family: Bacterial small subunit ribosomal RNA
Source: RNAcentral
AGUGAACGCUGGCGGUAGGCCUAACACAUGCAAGUCGAACGGCAGCACAGUAAGAGCUUGCUCUUACGGGUGGCGGGUGGCGGACGGGUGAGGAAUACAUCGGAAUCUACUUUUUCGUGGGGGAUAACGUAGGGAAACUUACGCUAAUACCGCAUACGACCUACGGGUGAAAGCAGGGGAUCUUCGGACCUUGCGCGAUUGAAUGAGCCGAUGUCGGAUUAGCUAGUUGGCGGGGUAAAGGCCCACCAAGGCGGCGAUCCGUAGCUGGUCUGAGAGGAUGAUCAGCCACACUGGAACUGAGACACGGUCCAGACUCCUACGGGAGGCAGCAGUGGGGAAUAUUGGACAAUGGGCGCAAGCCUGAUCCAGCCAUACCGCGUGGGUGAAGAAGGCCUUCGGGUUGUAAAGCCCUUUUGUUGGGAAAGAAAAGCAGCAGGUUAAUACCCCGCUGUUCUGACGGUACCCAAAGAAUAAGCACCGGCUAACUUCGUG